UUCGCGGCCUAUCAGCUUGUUGGUGAGGUAACGGCUCACCAAGGCGACGACGGGUAGCCGGCCUGAGAGGGUGACCGGCCACACUGGGACUGAGACACGGCCCAGACUCCUACGGGAGGCAGCAGUGGGGAAUAUUGCACAAUGGGCGCAAGCCUGAUGCAGCAACGCCGCGUGAGGGACGACGGCCUUCGGGUUGUAAACCUCUUUUAGUAGGGAAGAAGCGAAAGUGACGGUACCUGCAGAAAAAGCACCGGCUAACUACGUGCCAGCAGCCGCGGUAAUACGUAGGGCGCAAGCGUUAUCCGGAAUUAUUGGGCGUAAAGAGCUCGUAGGCGGUCUGUCGCGUCUGCUGUGAAAUCCCGAGGCUCAACCUCGGGCUUGCAGUGGGUACGGGCAGACUAGAGUGCGGUAGGGGAGAUUGGAAUUCCUGGUGUAGCGGUGGAAUGCGCAGAUAUCAGGAGGAACACCGAUGGCGAAGGCAGAUCUCUGGGCCGUUACUGACGCUGAGGAGCGAAAGGGUGGGGAGCAAACAGGCUUAGAUACCCUGGUAGUCCACCCCGUAAACGUUGGGAACUAGUUGUGGGGUCCUUUCCACGGAUUCCGUGACGUAGCUAACGCAUUAAGUUCCCCGC
RNAcentral lists this ribosomal RNA (632 nucleotides) under uncultured Actinomycetes bacterium. Its description in RNAcentral is "bacterial SSU rRNA". It matches the Rfam family "Bacterial small subunit ribosomal RNA", at positions 230 to 872 of the family's 1533-position model. Lineage: Bacteria; Bacillati; Actinomycetota; Actinomycetes. The record is from RNAcentral.